Pelobates cultripes (western spadefoot toad) is the source of this 2774-nucleotide non-coding RNA. The record is from the annotation of a GenBank genome assembly. Lineage: Eukaryota; Metazoa; Chordata; Amphibia; Anura; Pelobatidae.
AAAAAAACAACAAUCUAAAGAUGAGAUCUGAACUGUCAAUGCAAUAUUAGAGCAAGAGAGGUCAACAUUUGAUGGAUUGUUAUAUACUUGUGCAUAAAUAUCCAUUGUUUACCAAAAUAGCUGUAUUGCUUUUUCUACAUUUCCAAAUUUGGCAACAUGUUUGGGCAGCUGGUCAAAUAAUACAUUUAUAAAAGUCUCAUUGCAUAUUUUAAAUAAAUAUUCUGUUUUAUUUCUAGGUUUUUGAUGGUAAUGAAGACUCUGACACACCUUUUUGGGUCUUAGUGACUCCUGCUAUUGUUACACGUUUCCUGAGACUGCAUCCUGAAAACUGGAAGGGUGGUAUUGCUCUAAGAAUGGAAGUUCUAGGUUGCAAAAUAUCUUGAGUUUUUUUUUGUUUUUGGUGGGUGUUCCCUUGAUAUUCCAUACAUAUGCUAUGUAUAGUAAAGUUAAAUAAACUUGAUAAUAUUUGUUAAGUUCGGUGACAUCUACUUGCCUAUGUUUGUAUCUAACUUUCUGCCUACAAAUUAUCCAGCUAUCACAUAGCUAUCUGUCUGUUUAGUCUAAUUCAUCUAAUCUAUUAUCCACCUGCCUUAUAUGAACAGUCUUACCUACAUAAUAAAAAUAACAGAACCAGUGAAACUGAUUGUGAGACCAGCAGCCGAUGUAAAGUAGGUGGCUCUGUAUAAAUAAAUAGUAAGAGUUAAAAAAAAAAAUUACAUAAUUCCAAGAUCCAAAGUCUGCAAACCCUUCGUCCAGGACGAGAAUAGAGAAGCAGCUAAGAACAUUGUACAACAAACUACUCAGCAGCCUUAGAAAAUAAGCAAAAAAAAAAGAUGUUUCUCCAAAAUAUACUGCCUGACAUGGAUGUAAUAACUGGUGUACCAUACAAAAGUGGAUUGUUAAAGGAUAACUAUAGUGCGAGGAAAACAUACUUGUUUUCCUUGCACUAUAGGGUCUCUAGGUCCCCCUCCCGCCGGGCUCUAGGGUGAGGAAGGGGUUAAACACGUACCUUUUCUCCACCGCCGGGCUCCCUCGGCGGUGGGGACUCUCCGCCUCCUUUCCCGUCAUCGGCUGAAUGCGCAUGCGUGGCACGAGCAUUCAGCCAGUCUCAUAGGAAAGCAUUUCUCAAUGCUUUCCUAUGGACGUCCAGUGUCUUCUCACUGUGAUUUCCACAGUGAGAAGCGCAGACGUGCCUCUAGUGGCUGUCAAUGAGACAGCCACUAGAGGCUGGAUUAACCCAUAGGUAAACAUAGCAGUUUCUCUGAAACUGCUAUAUUUACAGCAGACAGGGUUAAUGUCUGGCACCCAGACCACUUCAUUAAGCUGAAGUGGUUUGGGUGCGUAUAGUGGUCCUUUAAGGAUAACUAAGCCCUGCAAUACAUGUUCUUGCAUAUUUACAUAAUGAAGCAUAAAGGGGAAAUUUUACAGAUAAACCAACCCAAGCUUUAUACUUGCCAGUACCAUAUUUUGUGGUUGGAUUUCCUUGUUGGGAAUACAUUUUCUUAACUUUUCCAUGUGGGACAGUAUAUAAACUGAACCCAAAAAUUAGUUGUGCCCAUGCAGGCAGAUUACAGAGUUCCUCAGAUGAAGGGAGGCUGAACUACUUCUGGUAUACCUAUGGUAGACAUGGAAGUUGGCCAAAAAUAAAAAAAUUAAAUCAGAAAUAAAAUAUCAUGUUGUCUGACUGAGGACAGGAAAAAGAGUUAUGGAAGGACCUUGAAUGCCUAGAUUUGGUUACUUGCUUACUGUCCUGAUCCAACUGGAGGUUGAGCUACCCAUAAGUGAUGCUGCCAUGAUUAGCCUGGAAGUAUGUUUUUCUGUAUUUUUCUUUCCACAUAUAUUUAAAUCUAGGCUGAUUUAAAGCAAAAAAAAAAAAAAAAUCACUACCUAAUAUAUAGCUAAUAGUAAAUAAAUAGUUGGGAUUGUUAGGCACCUACUAUUUUUCUAUCUUCCCAAAAGGGUAAUAUAACACAUAGUAAGUUGCGCUCUUCAUUUUGCUUCAGUAUCUUUUGACUUUGUACCAUAGUGCACAGACUGCAACAGUUUAUUUUUCAGCAACUUCCAAGUCUGGUCCCCACAAGUUAAACUAAGUCAAAUAACUUGGGAUUUCCAAUCACUCUUUAUUGUGUUUUUGUUGUCCUCUAUUUAGGACUGAUAAAUUAAAUUUUAUGCUUAAUUUUGAACUUUGAAAUUAUUAUUUUUAUACCUUGUACGAUUGGUUUACACACAUUCAAAUACAGUAUAUUCAGCUCCUGGUCUCACAACCAGUUUCGAGGGUUUUGUUGUUUUUUGUUACCCUUUGAGAUUUCCUAUUCUUGUUCUAGUAGGUUGUCUCUAUGCUUCUUAACUAUCUUAUGUAGUCUGUUUUAGGAAUAGUGGCUAUAAUUAUUCAGUUUACUCUUUCUCUCUCUCUGUAUAAACUCCCACUCUGCUUUAUGUUUGUAAUUAUUGAUGCAAAUAGCCAAAGAUUGUCAGAGAGUGUCCAUGGGCAAGUGUGAUGGAAGUACAGACCUGCUGGGGCACCACUUCGCUGAUGGGACAGUUUCCCUGCACACUUUUUAAUUAUUACUUGGUUCUUUUCUACUCUAGGUAUAAGGGCUCUAAGGUUUAUGCAAGUAUAAUUCUGAAAUCUGCAUCAUGCUUUUAUUCUAGACAGCUACACCCUCCCCACACACACACAGCCUGAAUUAAAUUUUGCUGGUUCACACAAUUGUACAUAUUUGUGGUUUUCUUUUAUUUUUAAGUUUAUUUUUUCCAUUUCUAAUUUCUUUGAG